GAUGAAGAACGCAGCGAAAUGCGAUAAGUAGUGUGAAUUGCAGAAUUCCGUGAAUCAUCGAAUCUUUGAACGCACAUUGCGCCCCCUGGUAUUCCGGGGGGCAUGCCUGUCCGAGCGUCAUUGCUGCCCUCAAGCACUGCUUGUGUGUUGGGCCUCCGUCCUCCUCCCGGGGGACGGGCCCGAAAGGCAGCGGCGGCACCGCGUCCGGUCCUCGAGCGUAUGGGGCUUCGUCACCCGCUCUUGUAGGCCCGGCCGGCGCUUGCCGACACAUCAAUCUUUUUUCCAGGUUGACCUCGGAUCAGGUAGGGAUACCCGCUGAACUUAAGCAUAUCAAUAAGCGGAGGA
Molecule: unclassified non-coding RNA, 345 nt
Filed under: soil metagenome
Description: partial contains 5.8S ribosomal RNA, internal transcribed spacer 2, and large subunit ribosomal RNA
Rfam family: 5.8S ribosomal RNA (bases 1-120)
Source: RNAcentral